This 275-nucleotide ribosomal RNA is filed under the name uncultured bacterium. RNAcentral describes it as "partial 16S ribosomal RNA". It matches the Rfam family "Bacterial small subunit ribosomal RNA", at positions 338 to 610 of the family's 1533-position model. The record is from RNAcentral.
CCUACGGGUGGCUGCAGUAAGGAAUAUUGGUCAAUGGUGGGAACACUGAACCAGCCAUCCCGCGUGCAGGACGAAGGCCCUCUGGGUUGUAAACUGCUUUUAACAGGGAAGAAACGGGCGGAUUUAUCUGCUCCUGACGGUACCUGUGGAAUAAGCACCGGCUAACUCCGUGCCAGCAGCCGCGGUAAUACGGAGGGUGCGAGCGUUAUCCGGAAUCACUGGGUUUAAAGGGUGCGUAGGCGGCCUGGUAAGUCAGGGGUGAAAGCUUCCCGCUC